GACGACGCUGGCGGCGUGCCUAACACAUGCAAGUCGAACGGGGUUAAUUUGAAAGCUUGCUUUUGGAUUAACCUAGUGGCGGACGGGUGAGUAACGCGUGAGCAACCUGCCUAUCAGAGGGGGAUAACGUUUGGAAACGAACGCUAAUACCGCAUAAAGUAAAUAUGUCGCAUGGCAUAUAUACCAAAGGAGCAAUCCGCUGAUAGAUGGGCUCGCGUCCGAUUAGCUAGUUGGUGAGGUAAAGGCUCACCAAGGCAACGAUCGGUAGCCGGACUGAGAGGUUGGACGGCCACAUUGGGACUGAGACACGGCCCAGACUCCUACGGGAGGCAGCAGUGGGGGAUAUUGCACAAUGGGGGAAACCCUGAUGCAGCGACGCCGCGUGAGGGAAGAAGGUCUUCGGAUUGUAAACCUCUGUCUUUGGGGAAGAAACUGACGGUACCCAAAGAGGAAGCCACGGCUAACUACGUG
RNAcentral lists this ribosomal RNA (471 nucleotides) under uncultured bacterium. RNAcentral's name for it is "bacterial SSU rRNA". It matches the Rfam family "Bacterial small subunit ribosomal RNA", at positions 33 to 507 of the family's 1533-position model. The record is from RNAcentral.